Molecule: ribosomal RNA, 404 nt
Filed under: Deltaproteobacteria bacterium
Lineage: Bacteria; Pseudomonadati; Myxococcota; Myxococcia
Description: bacterial SSU rRNA
Rfam family: Bacterial small subunit ribosomal RNA
Source: RNAcentral
CAAUUGGAGAGUUUGAUCCUGGCUCAGAACGAACGCUGGCGGCGUGCCUAACACAUGCAAGUCGAGGGAGAAAACCCGCAAGGGCGAGUAAACCGGCGAACGGGUGCGUAACACGUGGAUAAUCUACCUUCCUGACUGGGACAACUGGCCGAAAGGCUUGCUAAUACCAGAUAAGCCCACGGGCGCUUUGGCGCCUGAGGGAAAAGGUGGCCUCUGCAUGCAAGCUAUCGCAGGGAGAUGAGUCCGCGGCCCAUCAGCUAGUUGGCGGGGUAAAAGCCCACCAAGGCUACGACGGGUAGCUGGUCUGAGAGGAUGAUCAGCCACACUGGAACUGAGACACGGUCCAGACUCCUACGGGAGGCAGCAGUGGGGAAUCUUGCGCAAUGGGCGAAAGCCUGACGCAG